Molecule: unclassified non-coding RNA, 225 nt
Filed under: plant metagenome
Description: partial contains small subunit ribosomal RNA, internal transcribed spacer 1, and 5.8S ribosomal RNA
Source: RNAcentral
UCUCAGUUGGUGAACCAGCGGAGGGAUCAUUACAGGACUCGCAAGACUCCUACAACCCUGUGAACUUAACUAUAAGCACGUUGCUUCGGCGGGUGUCUCGGAGGGGGUUCUCCCUCCCCGAGACGCUAAACCCGCCGGCAGCCUACUAUACUCUGUCUCUUUGCGUUGGCAUCUCGAGUACAAUCAAACAAGUUAAAACUUUCAACAACGGAUCUCUUGGUUCUG